GUACAGUAGUGCUUGCGCACAACAAUAAUUUCAUUACAUUCGAGCGGGUGUAAAAAAUCCUCUGCCAGCCAAAGCCAGCAAGAGGCCAAAGGUUCACAGGGGUAUUGGAUGAAAAGCCGCCAACGUGCACUUGCCAGAGCUAGCUGGCCAGCACUGAAGACAACGAUUCGCAAUCAAUAAUGAUCCUUCCGCAGGUUCACCUACGGAAA
Molecule: unclassified non-coding RNA, 209 nt
Filed under: uncultured fungus
Lineage: Eukaryota; Fungi
Description: sequence contains ITS1
Source: RNAcentral